Molecule: ribosomal RNA, 389 nt
Filed under: uncultured bacterium
Lineage: Bacteria
Description: bacterial SSU rRNA
Rfam family: Bacterial small subunit ribosomal RNA
Source: RNAcentral
AUUGAACGCUGGCGGCAUGCUUUACACAUGCAAGUCGAACGGCAGCACGGGUGCUUGCACCUGGUGGCGAGUGGCGAACGGGUGAGUAAUGCAUCGGAACGUGCCCAUGAGUGGGGGAUAGCCCGGCGAAAGCCGGAUUAAUACCGCAUACGCCCUUAGGGGGAAAGCGGGGGGAUCUUCGGACCUCGCGCUAUUGGAGCGGCCGAUGUCGGAUUAGCUAGUAGGUGAGGUAAAGGCUCACCUAGGCGACGAUCCGUAGCUGGUCUGAGAGGAUGAUCAGCCACACUGGGACUGAGACACGGCCCAGACUCCUACGGGAGGCAGCAGUGGGGAAUUUUGGACAAUGGGCGCAAGCCUGAUCCAGCCAUGCCGCGUGAGUGAAGAAGGCC